AGUGAACGCUGGCGGUAGGCCUAGCACAUGCAAGUCGAACGGCAGCACAGGAGAGCUUACUCUCUGGGUGGCGAGUGGCGGACGGGUGAGGAAUACAUCGGAAUCUACUCUGUCGUGGGGGAUAACGUAGGGAAACUUACGCUAAUACCGCAUACGACCUACGGGUGAAAGCAGGGGACCUUCGGGCCUUGCGCGAUUGAAUGAGCCGAUGUCGGAUUAGCUAGUUGGCGGGGUAAAGGCCCACCAAGGCGACGAUCCGUAGCUGGUCUGAGAGGAUGAUCAGCCACACUGGAACUGAGACACGGUCCAGACUCCUACGGGAGGCAGCAGUGGGGAAUAUUGGACAAUGGGCGCAAGCCUGAUCCAGCCAUACCGCGUGGGUGAAGAAGGCCUUCGGGUUGUAAAGCCCUUUUGUUGGGAAAGAAAUCCAGCUGGCUAAUACCCGGUUGGGAUGACGGUACCCAAAGAACAAGCACCGGCUAACUUCGUGCCAGCAGCCGCGGUAA
Molecule: ribosomal RNA, 506 nt
Filed under: uncultured bacterium
Lineage: Bacteria
Description: partial 16S ribosomal RNA
Rfam family: Bacterial small subunit ribosomal RNA
Source: RNAcentral